Molecule: ribosomal RNA, 411 nt
Filed under: uncultured bacterium
Lineage: Bacteria
Description: bacterial SSU rRNA
Rfam family: Bacterial small subunit ribosomal RNA
Source: RNAcentral
AUUGAACGCUGGCGGCAUGCCUUACACGUGCAAGUCGAACGGCAGCGCGGGGCAACCCUGGCGGCGAGUGGCGAACGGGUGAGUAAUGCAUCGGAACGUGCCCAGUCGUGGGGGAUAACGCAGCGAAAGCUGCGCUAAUACCGCAUACGAUCUAUGGGUGAAAGCGGGGGACCGUAAGGCCUCGCGCGAUUGGAGCGGCCGAUGUCAGAUUAGGUAGUUGGUGGGGUAAAGGCUCACCAAGCCAACGAUCUGUAGCUGGUCUGAGAGGACGACCAGCCACACUGGGACUGAGACACGGCCCAGACUCCUACGGGAGGCAGCAGUGGGAAUUUUGGACAAUGGGCGCAAGCCUGAUCCAGCAAUGCCGCGUGCAGGAAGAAGGCCUUCGGGUUGUAACUAGCUUUGUACGGU